This 576-nucleotide long non-coding RNA is filed under the name Bos taurus (domestic cattle). RNAcentral describes it as "long non-coding RNA NONBTAT027009". The record is from RNAcentral. Lineage: Eukaryota; Metazoa; Chordata; Mammalia; Artiodactyla; Bovidae.
AAGAAUAAUGAUUCUUACUGCAAAGAGGGUGUAAUAGUUACCACUAUUGAGUUUGACAGGCUUGUGUUUUUAUACAAUGUUUAUUCCAGUUAGAGUAUAAAUAAAAAUGCAAACUGUUGUCAAUACUGACUUCAGAGCAAGUGAGUAAUCAAAUAGAUAAAAGCAUGUUUCAAAUAAAAUACCUAGCUGGAUUUAUACUUUAUUGCAUACAGAUUUAACAACAUCCAGUGUUGUGUGGCUUGACAGUGAAAUAAAAAGUAAGUUCUUUAUGUUCCCUUACAAUCAUAAAGAUUAAAAAGAUUUGUUCCGGUAUGAGAUGUUUAGAUCUCUAUCCUGCUUAUUACUAAGGGGAAGUUUCGUUUAUACAGUUUGGACUCCCAUGAACUUUUGCAUACAACUUUGUAUUUAUUUGCCUUAAAGUAGCUUUUUUGCAUUUUUCAGAAAAUUUAGAAAAGAAAAUCUGAAUUACGUCUUACUAGUAAGUGUGAUAAAACACUCUUAGGAAUUUGGAGAGUGUGUUGGACUGUAUCUUCUCUUCCUCCACAGCCGCCUUGUGCUUAGGAAGCCUUGUGAUAA